ACCGGGACAGGGGAGAUCCAAAACGGCUUCCUCCCCUCUUCACUUUCCUCGUCGGUAGCGACAACGCCGUUACCUACAAAACAAACAAAAACACAGCAAGCAAGUCUUUCUUUAUUUUCAAUCUGGCUUCUCUUCCUUCAAAUCUGCCAAGUCUGGAGCCGGGCGUGUGGAUGGCUGGAUCGGCAUCUUCCCUCCUCCCAUUUCAUUUCUGCAACGGCGGUGUUGUCCACCGCUGCCAUGGUUGUGGGAUCGGCGCCCAUCCAAGCUUCGGUUUUCUGCCCCUUCUUCACUGUCCUCUGGCCUCCCUUCUCAUUUCCUCGCCGUAUCCGUAAUGAGCUGCUGGGGAAGGGACGAUGCUGCUGUUGGCCGGUUGAUGGUGGUUGGCCGAGAGAGGGAGGCGCUGCUGUUUCUGGGGAAGAUGGGGGCGGCUGAGAGAUGAGGGGCUGCUGUGUUUGGCUGGUUGGAGAAGAAACGGCUGAGAGGGGUUAUGUGGGAGGAGACGGUGGAGAGGGAGUGUUGGCUUGCUGGGUUAUUGUUGCUUGUGGUCAGAUGAAGAGAUGAUCGGUGGCUGCAAUGGGUGAAGUGGAGGUCUGAUGGAGGUGGGGUCUUCGGGAGGCUGAGGAAGAAAAAAGGCUUUGAGGGGGCUGUCGGCUGUGUUUUGGCCGGUUGAGGGAGAAGAAGUGGGGGCCGACGUGCAGGGGAGGUGGUGUCGCUGGGAGAAGAAAAAAAUGGCUUCGGGGUGGAGCUGUGUGUGGGGAAGGAAGAAGAGAAAAAUCAAAAAACAAAGGGGUGGGGGGCUCCGGCGUUUUGCCUCUCGUGAGGGAGAAGAAGAAAAGUUUCAAACCUGGGGGUUGCUGGCGGCUCCUCUUCCAGUCAGGGAUAAAAAAAAAAAGCUUUUCUUAGGUUUUUUCUUUUGUGUUGCCUCCCCUAAAUUAGAAAAUCGCCCCCCCAUUUCUUUGAGUUUUCAACCUAUAUUUAUAGGUAAAAUGUUGUCCGGGUAUCAAAAUUGGUCCCUCAACUUUCUUUCUUUUUUGUAAAUUUUGGUUUUUUGUUGUUUUUUUCUUGUAUUUUUAAAAAUGAGCAAAAUCAACAUUAAUUCUAUGAGAAAAAUAAUGAUUUUAAAAUAACGCGUGAAAAGUCGAACGCGUUUGAAAAAACAAUUGAAAAUUAAACUUCUUUUUUUUUAGAAGACGUUGAAAAUGCUAAAAACAUUGCAAAUAUAUUAAAAACAUAUUUUUUUUGGAUUUUUUCGAAAAAUUUAUUAAAAAGGUGGGUCAAAAAUUGGGUAACAACAGAUGCCCCCUCUUUACAAUGCCUACGAAACAAAACUCCUCAAUGUUUUGCAUAAAGCUUUGUAAAGAAAAGAAAAAGAAAAUGAUCUUAUUAUCUUGGGCGACAUGCCCCUAUUUUCAGGGGCGACCGGCCCACACAAUCACACUGGUCUACUUUCACGGGCGACCUGCCCACACAUACUCAAAGUGGUCUAUUUUCAGGGGCGACCUGCCCACACACUCACACUGGUCUAUUUUCACGGGCGACCUGCCUACACAUACUCACUCUAGUCUAUUUUCAGGGGCGACCGACCCACACUCUCACACUGGUCUGUUUUCAGUGGCGACCUGCCCACACACUCACACUAGUCUAUUUUCACGGGCGACCUUCCCUUUUGAUUGGGUUUACCUAAGAUCCCAUCUGGCGAUCUAACAAGAACAAAAAUUGGUGUGUAGCUCGAUCAACCUGAAAUCCCAUCUAGUGAUUCUACGUGAUUAGGCUAAACUGAGAUCCCUUCGUCGAUCCCCUUUAACCAUAACCAAGGUCUGUGUGGUUAGACUGAACUGAGAUCCCUUCGCCGAUCCCCUUCAACCAGAACCAAAAUCCUUUCCAAUUAGGUUAAACUGAGAUCCCUUCGUCGAUCCCCUUUAACCAUAACCAAGGAAUGUGUAGGGUUGGGCUAGACUGAGAUUCCUUUCGGCAAUCCCCUCUAACCAGAACCAAAAUCCUUUCCAAUUAGGUUAAACUGAGAUCCCUUUGUCGAUCCCUUUAACCAUAACCAAGGAAUUGUGUAGUUAGACUGAACUGAAAUCCCUUCGUCGAUCCCCUUCAACCAGAACCAAAAUCCUUUCCAAUUAGGUUAAACUGAGAUCCCUUCGCCGAUCCCCUUUAACCAUAACCAAGGAAUGUGUGUAACUGAACUGGGAUCCCUUCGCCGAUCCCCUUCAACCAGAACCAAAAUCCUUUCCAAUUAGGUUAAACUAAGAUCCCUUCGCCGAUCCCCUUUAACCAUAACCAAGGAAUAUGUAGCUCGGUCAACCUGAAACCCCAUCUGGCGAUUCCCUUUAACCAAAGCUACAUGAGAUCCCAUCUGGCGACCUCAUUCAACUGGAACAAAAGAAUGUGUAAAAAGUGGUCAUUAUAAUGGUGACCUACCCAAGUGGAAAGGAGGAAGAGUGGUCUCAUUGUAUGGGUGACCUACCCAGGGAAAAAAUAUGAAGUGUGGUCUCAUUGUAAUGGGUGACCUACCCAGAUGGAAAAAAUGAUGAAGUGGUCUCAUUGUAUGGGUGACCUACCCAAUAAAAAAUGUGAAGUGCGGUCUCAUUGUAAUGGGUGACCUACCCAGAUGGAAAAAAAUGAUGAAGUGCGGUCUCAUUGUCAUGGGUGACCUACCCGGAUGGAAAAAAUGUGAAAACGGUCUCAUUAUAUGGGUGACCACCCAAUGGAAGAUGUGAUAUGACAAGUGUGAAAAAUAGGACUUACCUGGCGAAGUCUGAGGGAUGACAGAAGAAAGGGCUGGAAAACUUGGUGCUUCCUGAUAAUUCCCGAUCAUAGGGUUUGAAAACUCGGUGUUUCCUGACUGCAAGGGUUGAAAACUCGAGGCUUCCCGAUUGCAAGGUUGAUCUUUCAUUUCUUUGGGAUUUUCCUAAUGGUAGGGUUCAUCCCAUCGUCCUUUUAUUCCAUGAUCAAAAUCGAUUCUUUAUUAUCAUCACCACAAUGCUUCUUUCUUUUUCCACCAUCUUGCUGGACCUCAUUAAGGAUUUUCCUGUAACAAUUCAAAAAUAUGUGCAAAUGGUUUUUUUUUUUUUUUUUUGAGGUUAGAUGAUAUGCAUGCAUCCUUACCUGAUUUGAAAUAUAGGUCCCCCCUCUUUGAUGCUCCAUCGUCAUAGGGUGCCCUUGUUUGUAUCCCAAAGCUUUCUUUGUUCUUCCGAUGCAUUGGCUCAUUCAUGUGCUAGCCAUCCACUCAGCUGUAAAUGCAGUGCCCAUCCCGGGCUGUCUUCGACAAUUACUGCUUGCAUCGUUCAUCAAGCUUGACCCUGCCCCCAAGUGUGGUACUGCUUGAUUCAUCAUGAAGGAUUUUCUCUCCUGGCUUCUUCUGAGAAUUAUCCUCUGAUUGAUUGUGUGCAUCAUGCCAAUACCCAUCAAGAUUGUUAAUCAGUCAUGAACUUGCCUCUAGUUGAAACAGUACUCUUCAAGUACAUGUUAUCAUCAGCCUUCUUGGAACUCAUCAGUCAUCCAGACAUGCAUCUCAUAGCUUGCAGUAAAAGGCUCAUGGUUGUAUGCUCAGUGUCUUCUCAUAGAUUCCUUUCAACUCUUCUAAUCAGAUUGUGAAAAGAAAUGUCUCAGCUCAUCAAUGAUGCUGCUUUUAUCACCCAUACUCAUGCGGUGAAGCGCUCAUCUGGCUUCAGAACAAGUUGUCCCACAAUCAUUCUUCGAGGUGGGUGCCUUUUCGACAUUCAUUCAGUGCAGUUGUGUGAUAACAUCUGUCUAUAACCAUGUUUCAAAGAAUGACAAUAUGAGAUUGUCCUUCAAGUGCGGCAUUGUUCCAUAGUCAGUCUUGGUGGUGUGCAUCUUUUCACCAUUCAAUUACAUUCAUCUGUGUAUCUCAUCGAUCGCUAGCCAUGUUUCAAAAGAUGAUGAUAUGAAAGUGUCCUUCAGUACAUCCUUGUUUCUCCAUUGCCGACAGGGUUCACUAGAGCAUGGGCCAUUUUGGAAUGACAUUGCCCCCAGUAUGAUCUGAAUGUGCUCGUUCAUUGAUUAUCUGUCUUUGAACAUCAUUGUCUUCAGUUCACUGAUUCAUCAUUUAAACAUUGCCUCAUAGCUGAUCUGAGCAUUGCUUGUUUUUCCUUUUCAAGGUCUACUGUAUUGCCCCCAGUUGCUCAACCUUUCAAGGAGUGUCGAGGACUUCAAUGUCAUUUCUAUCAACGAUUUUGGAGACUCAAUCAAUGUUCUUUUAUGUCUGAUAAUCUUCCUUGUUUUGGAAUCAACUCAUCAUAUUUCAACGAUCAUGUCUGUUCAAAGUCUAGUUUGUUGAAAUGAAAUCAGAGAUGUCCUUUUUGAAAAUCUUUUGAAAAUCAAGUUUUUUUUUUUUUCAAAUACCCAACACACGUUAUUCGAAAUACACAGUCCUUUAAUUGUCAAUGCAUUUUAAAAAAGAAAUUGACCCAAUGUAGGAUUAAAAUGGCUUUUUCCAUGGUUCUUUGUAUCAAUUUGAAUCCUUGAUAUUGGGUAUAUCAUUUGAUAGUCUAUGAUGAGGUGACCUUUGCAUGAAUUUGAUAGUCAACACUUAGGCUUUAUCAAGAAAGGUUAUUUCUUUUCUUAGCACUUGUUUUAUCAGCAUGCAUAAUAACCAAUAGCUUAAUUCAAGAAGUCACGACCCUUAUGGAAAAGCUCUUCAAGUUUUGAGAGCGUCAUUUAUCGAUUCAAAUUGCUUGCUUGAUUAAAAAGGGCUUUUAAAAAGCACGUAAUGCAUGCUAUGGUUCAUGGCUAUGAAAGAAAAGAACUUCAAAGGCUCAAAAGGUGUUUGAGGGUUUCAAAGACCUAGGAUCAACAUCAAUUAUUCAUCAACUCUUUUAUAUUGUUGUCUUUGUAGAGGAAACGACAUAUAACCUUGUUAACCUCAAAGUUCAGACUUUUCUUAACAUAAGUCAUAAUGCAAAUCCACUUUCUUGAUGAAUAACCAACCUUAAUCAUCUGAUAACAUCAGGCUUUAUAAUGGAUACCAAAAGUCACGUUUAGCUUAGUCUUUUUUCUGGUAUUGACUUUUGUUGUGCCUUUCCUUGAUUGAAAUUUCUUUUGCUCUUCAUAGACUUGAUAGGCGUUCUCCUUCCUUUAUCUUUGACUUGUAUUUAAGUGAAGGCAAUUUCAACUUCCUUUUUUUUUCAUUCUUUUUUUUUUUAUAGCCUUCCUCAAAAUUUCUUAUAUGCCCCCAGUCUAUGUGUUUUCUUUUAGCUCUCUCUCAAUCAUUGGACCUUUAAGCCUUCCCUUUAUCCAUUAAUUAUAUCAAUGUCUCCAAAAUAUCUCUCAUUUGCCCCCAGUGUGGGGUGUGAUCCUAGUCAGGGUUUCUUUUUGAAAGAAAAUAUUUUCCAGGCUCAAAAUGGGACUGCAAGGGAUAUAAUCUUUAGAAAGUGAAGGGAUAUCAAAGAUGGCCUUUUCUCAUUUCAAGCAAGGUCGGUUAAACCGAUAAAUUUUGACCUCAUCCAGUGUAAUGAUUGGGACUUGUAAGAAUCAUGAUUCACGAGUCCAUAACUACCGAAUCCACUACAUGUCAUUAUGCAUACUGCUAAAACUUAGCUAUAUGAUGUGUGGUUCAGUUUCAGGAGGUAUGAGUUCAAAAUUGUUUGUCACCUCAUUUUUUCAAGCAUCGAGUCAUUUCUGUAAUCAAAACACUUUUAAUCUUCCGGAUUGAUUAACCUUUAUCGCAUGUUGGAGUUUGAUCAAAAUAUUUUGUCAGAAUAAAAUGCUAAACAUCUGUUGAUUUCAAAACAACAAAGAGACAAAAGCAAGGCAUGUUUCGUUGAAGGAUGAGAUGUGAUCCCAAAACAAAAUGCAGAAUUCCAUAAAAUAUGAUUGACUGUUCAUCACCAUUCUUGAAUCAGCUUUUCUGGCAAUAUCUGUGUUUUGCCAAGCAUUCUCGAUCACAUGUCAUUCUGAAGAUGUUCGGGGAAUAAUAUAGCCAAUGACACCCUCCUUCACUGACUCCACUUGUCUCUUGCUCACUAACUUUUAGACUCAAUUCUUGCAAUUCUUGCAACUGUUCACUUGAAAUGGUUGAGAACCCCACCAUGACAUCACAUCUCUUGUCUGGAUUAUACCACCUAGAAAACGGUGGUUGCAUGGGAUUUUUCGGAGUCAAGCAAAAUUCUGGAAUCUGACAGAUGUUGGUCGACAAACUUAAACGGCAGAGGAAUGUCCCAUCUUGGCAAAGACAUUUGAGCAAUUGAUGCUAUCGUGAGACCUGGCUAUACCACAUAAUUAAGGGUUCACACCGUCAAAGUCAUCUCCUGAUUCACCUCUCAUCAUUGUUCUGAAUCCAUGGCAGAUCCUUCAAUCUUUCCUCUCUUCAUAGCUUGUUUAAUUCUUCGGCAAAUCCUCACAACCUCAUUUCAAUCUUCCAAUGUUGUUGUGGUUGGUUGAGGAUUGUUUAGAAAACUUUCCAACAACUUGGUAAUCUUGGCAGCGCCCAGAAACUUGUAGUAUCGCCACUACUGACACGUGGAAUCAUGCCUUAUCUCUUCUAUGGGAGAAGCUGAUGGACAUGAAUCUCCUUUAUUUCUUCUUUGAUUCCUCUCGAACGGUGCAGCAAACAAGCACCAUUAGAGGGAGUUCUGCUCUGUUGAAGUUUCAGUCUUCUUCAUGUUUUUCAGUCUAGGCAUGUCUCUUCUUCUACUUUUGCGUUUUAAUACUGACACUGUUGGAGGAAAAUCAUGAUGAUCUGAAACUACUGUAUUCCUUCUUGGAUUUCCCACUUGCGAUCCACAAAGAUUCCUGCGAGAGAUCUGCACGUUGAAGUUUGAUGUCUGCUCAAUGUUUUCAACCAAAUCUGGCUCUUCAACCUGCUACAGUUUCUUCGUGCUGAAACUGAUGAGAGAAAUAUUUGUAGCAUAUGCAAUUAGUAAAUCCUCUCUUGCACUCUCAACUUGCAGCAUCAUAAACAGAUUUUUGUAGAGAGAGCUCUGCCACGUUGAAGUUCGACGACUACUCAUAUUUUCAGACCAGGCCUGACUCCUCUGCCUAGUACAAUGUUUUGCUCGUGCCACUGGUAGGAAAAAGUUUCAAAGCAUAUGUAAUUAAUACAUCUCCUUUUGCAUUUUCCAUUGGCAGAUCCACCAAUAAAUCUCUACAGAGAGAGCUCUACCACGUAGAAGUUCAGUGUCUAAUCAUGGUUUUUCAGACCAACACCUUGUGCUGCUGAACUGGAAUUGAGCUCAUAAUUGGGGUAACUUCAAAGCAGACUAAUGCACCAUGAACAUGAGGCUAGUAGUCGUUUGAUUCCAUUAAAUGAUGUAGAGGCGAUGAACACUUAACAGUGCAACUGGAUAAGAACCAGAGUUGUCAUUAGUUGAUGACUGAAGGCAUUGUUGCUGUUGUUCAUGACUAAAAAGGAGAGAUACAACUUCAAUUGGACGUGAACAAAUAGUGUUCCCACAGAAGACUGUGCAUACAUUCUCUUUCCAUUUGAUGCUCAACACUUGUUCGAGCAGAUCUGAGUCUAGCUACUUCACCUUUGAUGCUUCUGACCUCAAUAUGAUAAUGAGCCUCUAUCUGACAUCUUUCUUUGCUCCCAUCAUCUUUCUUCAAUCACGUGCAGCACAGCUUGUGCGGGGGACCUACCUUUCAACCCGGUACAUGCAUGAUAAAUGUAUGAAUAUGUAAUUUAUAUGACGAACUCGCAACUCUUGUAUGAUGAAACAAGAAUCUUGAUUCUUGCACAAACUCUACAAUGAAAAUUUUCUGAGCGACGGUCAUUGUGUCACCCAUAAGUCUGGAGUUCAAGAUGCUUCAAGAAGGGCUUGCUCGGAUGCAAAACAAAUAUUUACGGAGCAUACAUCCUACAGGCAGGUUCUAAUCUUGUUAAGUGAGAUAAAAGGUAGGUUUACUAUUUGGUCUCUAAAAAAGGGGCUCUCGUUGUCCUAGUGAUCGCCCUCUUGAAGGAAAUAUAGGGGCUUGUAGGCAAUGAGAUGGCACGUGUACCAACCAUUACCAGUCUAAGCACUCAACGAAGAGUUGGGGUUUACACAAACUUAAACCUUGACUAAAAGUCGUAAGGUAAGCUGCUAGUCCCCCUCCUAACCUGAAGCUUGUGUUUGCUUUUAAAAAAUUAACUAUGUGAUGCAUGAGAUAAUUCUACAAAAUGCAUGGAUAAAACAAAAAUAAAAAAACACAAAAAUGCAAAAACAUAAACACAUAAAAUACACAAAGCUUAGUCCAAUAAUGUUAGAAACAGUACCGUCCCUAGUGGAGUCGCCAUUCUGUCGCACGUCGAAAAAUCCACGCGCGCCAUCGGCUGGCGAUUAUUCGUUCUGUUUUGCUGAUUUGGUUCUUUGGAGUCACCACCUAGUAAUUCAUUGAGGGCUACUAGGAAACCUGAUGUACUGGUAUUGUCAGAGAUCGCGGGCAAGGGACUGGUUGUGGUUAGGGAAGGUAUUAGCACCCCUAACGCACCCUACCUGAGGUAAGCUGCUUUGUGGACUUGAUGUGUUAAAAAAGUUUUAAAAAUUAUGUUCUUUCAUCGAAUUUUAGAAAAUACAACUUACAUGUAAGUUCAUAAUUCUUUAUCCGUGAUCAAAUCAGAAUAUUAAAUUCUUUUUUAUUCUUGCAAUUUUAUCAUAAUAAUAAAAAAAAAACAUUCAUAAACAAAAAUACACACAACAUUCACUUUCAAGCUUCGUGGACUUGAUGUGAUAUUAAAAACAAAAUUUUAGCCCAAUUCUAAAGCUUUGAUAAAUCAGUUAUUACUUUUCCAGACUAUAUUUAGAUACAUGUUCUACAUUUCCAUGGAAAAUUCAACAUGAUUUUUAUCUGUCCUUUAGAUAUUUGUGCAUAUAAAUUAAAUUCCUUUUUUUAUUAUUCAAUAACAUACAUAAAAAAAAAUACAAGCACACACAAACAUUUCCUGUUUUUUAUUUAUCACUUUCUCUUUUCUUUUACAUCCCCAUUUCCAUAAUACAAAUAAAAAAAAUUCAAAACCAAAUAAAAAAAUUACAUCAAACAAAUUUUAAAUUACAAAACAACCCCUAAAAACUCCAGGAAUUGCAGGGGAGCCCUCCAUGCAUGCCGAAACAGUGCCGGCACGUCUGGUCCAUGCGCUGCCGCCACGAAAAGACCAGGACAGGGGAGAUCCGAAACGGCUUCCUCCCCUCUUCAUUUUCCUCGUCGGCGGCGACAACGUCGUUACCUACAAAACAAACAAAAACGCAGCAAGCAAGUCUUUCUUUAUUUUCAAUCUGGCUUCUCUUCCUUCAGAUCUGCCAAGUCUGGAGCCGGGCGUGUGGAUGGCUGGAUCGGCAUCUUCCCUCCUCCCAUUUCAUUUCUGCAACGGCGGUGUUGUCCACCGCUGCCAUGGUUGUGGGAUCGGCGCCAUCCAAGCUUCGGUUUUCUGCCCCUUCUUCACUGUCCUCUGGCCUCCCUUCUCAUUUCCUCGCCGUAUCCGUAAUGAGCUGCUGGGGAAGGGACGAUGCUGCUGUUGGCCGGUUGAUGGUGGUUGGCCGAGAGAGGGAGGCGCUGCUGUUUCUGGGGAAGAUGGGGGCGGCUGAGAGAUGAGGGGCUGCUGUGUU
Molecule: long non-coding RNA, 9548 nt
Filed under: Populus tremula
Lineage: Eukaryota; Viridiplantae; Streptophyta; Magnoliopsida; Malpighiales; Salicaceae
Description: long non-coding RNA (PTRE_LNC002340)
Source: RNAcentral